GCUGGUGUAGCACAAUCGGUAGUGCGCAUCACUCGUAAUGAUGAGGUUGGAGGUUCAAGUCCUCUCACCAGCACCA
This 76-nucleotide transfer RNA is filed under the name Lentibacillus cibarius. RNAcentral describes it as "Lentibacillus sp. NKC220-2 tRNA-Thr". It matches the Rfam family "tRNA". From Rfam's summary of the family: Transfer RNA (tRNA) molecules are approximately 80 nucleotides in length. Their secondary structure includes four short double-helical elements and three loops (D, anti-codon, and T loops). The record is from RNAcentral. Lineage: Bacteria; Bacillati; Bacillota; Bacilli; Caryophanales; Bacillaceae.